UGGGGAAUUUUGGACAAUGGGCGAAAGCCUGAUCCAGCAAUGCCGCGUGUGUGAAGAAGGCCUUCGGGUUGUAAAGCACUUUUGUCCGGAAAGAAAUCCUUGGCUCUAAUACAGUCGGGGGAUGACGGUACCGGAAGAAUAAGCACCGGCUAACUACGUGCCAGCAGCCGCGGUAAUACGUAGGGUGCAAGCGUUAAUCGGAAUUACUGGGCGUAAAGCGUGCGCAGGCGGUUUGCUAAGACCGAUGUGAAAUCCCCGGGCUCAACCUGGGAACUGCAUUGGUGACUGGCAGGCUAGAGUAUGGCAGAGGGGGGUAGAAUUCCACGUGUAGCAGUGAAAUGCGUAGAGAUGUGGAGGAAUACCGAUGGCGAAGGCAGCCCCCUGGGCCAAUACUGACGCUCAUGCACGAAAGCGUGGGGAGCAAACAGGAUUAGAUACCCUGGUAGUCACGCCCUAAACGAUGUCAACUAGUUGUUGGGGAUUCAUUUCCUUAGUAACGUAGCUAACGCGUGAAGUUGACCGCCUGGGGAGUACGGUCGCAAGAUUAAAACUUAAAGGAAUUGACGGGGUCAUAGCUGUUUCCU
This 584-nucleotide ribosomal RNA is filed under the name uncultured bacterium. Its description in RNAcentral is "partial 16S ribosomal RNA". It matches the Rfam family "Bacterial small subunit ribosomal RNA", at positions 355 to 1375 of the family's 1533-position model. The record is from RNAcentral.